Long non-coding RNA from Hemibagrus wyckioides, 456 nucleotides. RefSeq lists it as uncharacterized. The record is from RefSeq and is a predicted model, not a curated record. NCBI's taxonomy places the organism in Eukaryota, Metazoa, Chordata, Actinopteri, Siluriformes, Bagridae. The transcript has 4 exons.
GUUAACAAAGGUAUGCUUAAUGUGCAGCCUUUUCUCCCUCGUAUACCAGUUCAUCCAGAGGGGCAGAAAGUAUUUGCCGUUGCAAUCUCCUAGGUGCUGGCUGCUAUCUGUGAGCGUUGAAUAACUGAGUUUGGUCAUGAGAUUGAGCACUGAGACUUGGUAACUGGUUUACUACACUGGACUUCCACUAAAGGCUGGGCCUGUGUAGGUGAUCCCUGUGGGGUGGCACAAGCUGUGUGGUGUGUAUCAAACGGUUGGCACUGUAGCGGUGCCUGCAAGAUUGGUUUGGUUGCAGUGCAUGCUGUGGAUGUUCUUUCUUCUUGCAUGUGAGCAGGCCCAACCCUUCCUGGAGUCUUGAGGAGAGUUUUGUUUUUAUUCUAAUGGUUUUUUACUAUUGAUGCAGAUGUUUCAAGUCUGAGGGUCUAUGCUAAGACAAUAAAGUUGAGAUUUUAUAUA